Mirounga angustirostris (Northern elephant seal) is the source of this 4945-nucleotide RNA transcript. It is a transcript of the gene named DNA polymerase delta 3, accessory subunit, with no coding region annotated. The transcript has 18 exons. Lineage: Eukaryota; Metazoa; Chordata; Mammalia; Carnivora; Phocidae. The record is from RefSeq and is a predicted model, not a curated record.
CUCCGUUGCUGUGGGAAACGACCCGGGACCCGGGAGAGAGGAAAGACGUUUCCCGCCGGCGGGAGCUGCGGUUGUGGUGGCGGGGCUCAUAGCUCCGCAGCACCAUGGCGGACCAGCUUUAUCUGGAAAAUAUAGACGAGUUCGUCACGGACCAGAACAAGAUCGUGACAUACAAAUGGCUGAGCUAUACACUAGGAGUUCAUGUUAACCAGGCCAAACAGAUGCUGUACGAUUAUGUUGAAAGAAAGCGAAAGGAGAAUUCGGGAGCCCAACUGCAUGUCACCUAUUUAGUGUCUGGCAGUCUCAUUCAGAAUGGACAUUCCUGCCACAAGGUUGCAGUAGUGAGAGAAGAUAAAUUGGAAGCAGUGAAGUCCAAGCUAGCGGUGACUGCCAGCAUCCAUGUGUACAGCAUCCAGAAAGCUAUGCUAAAGGACAGUGGGCCUCUGUUCAAUACGGACUAUGACAUCCUUAAAAGCAACUUGCAGAACUGCAGCAAGUUUAGUGCCAUACAGUGUGCAGCUGCGGUCCCCAGAGCUGCUGCUGAAUCCUCGUCUUCUGAAAAGUUUGAGCAGUCAAAUCUUCAAGUAUCAAGUGAGACACCAGCCAAUAAUGAGUUGACAACCAAUGGUCAUAGUCUGCCUACCUCCAAACAGAUUUUCCAGCAGCCCAAAGGGAUAAUGGGAAUGUUUGCCUCUAAAGCUGCUUCUAAAACCCAAGAUGUCAACAAGGAAACCAAAACAGAGACUAAAGAGGUAACAAAUGUAUCCACAGGCAACAAGGCACCAGGGAAAGGGAAUGUGAUGAGCAAUUUUUUUGGAAAAGCUGCUAUGAAUAAACUUAAAGUCAAUUUGGAUUCAGAACAAGCAGUGAAAGAAGAAAAAAUAGUGGAGCAACCUCCAGUGUCUGUCACUGAACCAAACCUGGCAGCCCCUACAGGCCUGAAGAAAUCCAGCAAAAAAGCAGAGCCUGUUAAGAUGCAGCAGAAGGAAAAAAAAAGGGGGAAGCGAGUGGAGUUAUCUGAUGAUGAGACAAAAGAAACUGAAAAUAUGAAGAAAAAGAGGAGACGAAUCAAACUUCCUGAGUCUGAUAGCAGUGAAGAUGAAGUCAUACCAGAUUCUCCUGGGGAUUAUGAAGCUGAGUCACCAUCCCCACCUCCUCCUCCUUCUCCACCUCCGGAACCACUGCCGAAUAAUGAACCGGAGCCUCCUUCUGUCAAGAGCUCAAGUGGAGAAAAAAGAAAACGAAAGCGGGUGCUGAAAUCGAAAACUUUUGUGGAUGAGGAAGGCUGCAUAGUGACUGAAAAAGUCUACGAGAGUGAAUCCUGCACAGAUAGUGAAGAGGAGCUUAAGAUGAAGACCUCCUCUGUACACAGACCCUCUACUAUGACUGUGAAAAAAGAACCCAAAGAAGAACGAAAGGGCCCAAAGAAAGGGACUGCUGCUCUGGGCAAAGCCAACAGACAAGUGUCCAUUACUGGCUUCUUCCAGAGGAAGUGAACUGCCGACUCUGUUAAGUCAGAGACAUGGAGUGGUCCAAGGAGAAGACCAAGACAGACAGACUCUCGCUUACUGUGUACGUGAGGGUUGAAGGACGACAGCAGUGGUCAAGAGCACUGUCUGUGGAGCAAGACAGUCCGGGGCUCAGACUCCAGCUGCCAUUCGAGCUGUGUGACCUUGGACAAGGUACUUAUCUUCUCUUGGUCUGUGAAAUGGAGAAAAAUAGUCCUGCCCUGUCUGUGUGUUGUGAGGAGUCCGUGAAUUCAUGCAUGCAAAAUACCUACGUGGCACAUGGACAAUCUUGACUGUCGUGCUGCCUGGCCCCUUCGGUCGGAAGUGGCGAGGGAUGAAGCCCAGAGGAGAGCUGAGGCCAGUGGGGGCUGGGGUGCCCAGGCCUCUCUUUCUCCCACUGUCCCCUGAACACGGAUCCUGGGAACGUCUCUGCAAAUGGCAGGAAGGGUGGGGAUCACUGAUGGGCCAGUGCCAGCAGGGGAGCGCAAGACAGGGGCUGCAGUGAGGCCUGCAGCUAGACGCCACCAGGACUUCCCAGUAAAGAGAGGCACAUGUCAGGGAUGGAAAGAUCUGGAUGCGGCCUAAGACGUUCUCAGACAAUGGAUCUUUGAAAACUCUCAGAACGGUGGUUUGGAAAUCCUGCCUCCACCAAGCCCUUCUCAGGCCCGUCAGAGUGAACAAAGCCCCUUCCUGCUCAGAUAGUGUCUGAGUCAGAGACUGGCCAGACUGACCCCACAAGAGCACCCAGGAAACUAUCUCAGGCCCCAGAAGAGGCCCAGGUACAUAGGAGGCUCCCAGGAAAUGCCUGUCGAGUGGAAUAGUGGCAAGAUGGAAUCGAGGAGCCCAGCCCUUUAAUGGGACUUGCUCACGUCAUCCAGUCCCCAGCUUCAGGACCAGCCUGGAGAGGCAACACUGCAGAGGGAAGGGCCUUCUGGGAAUCAGAAGCCAGAUGACCUCUGCAAUCAUUAUAGACAUCUGUGUGCCAGGCCCUGGGCCAGUAGCAGCAAAAGAUACAAAAAUGAAUUGGGCAUGUUCCCUCCAUUUGAGGAGUGCAGAGUCUACUGGAGAACCCAGAAAUGGGCAAAUGUGAGUACACGAGCCAUGGAUUCCCAAGAACAAGGGCCAGGCCUGGUCUGUUCAUCUCUGAAUCAUCAGCUCAGGGCCCUGCUCCAACAGGUGCCCUCCAACAGUGCCUGUUCCGGUCUGGAUGAAGGAGGGAGUGAAUGAAUGAGAGCCAGGAGAGGAGUGCUAGAGGGCCUCUUGGUUAGAUGAAUGGAGCCAGCUUUGUCCACCUGGGAAGUUGGCAGGUUUGCUUCCAGCCCCCCUGCCCACUGAGUUUCCCCACAGCACCUCUUGCCCCACGGAAAACCCUGGACCAGCCCCCAGCCCCUCUGGGGUCACUGCUCCACAAGAUGGCCAGCUCACAAGGACUCAACAACACUAAGGGGCAUCCCAGAGUCCACAGAACUAGGCCUUCUAGAGGCCUGGCGCUCCUGGGUACUUAGAAUGUCUAGAGGGUGAACUGAGCCCCUCAGAUGAGUAACUAGGGUGGAGUUCAAGGAACUGUGUGACCUGAAGAGUUAGGAUCUCUUUCUUGAUUCUGGCCCUGGAGGAGCCAAGGGAUGGAGACGAUCAGCAACCUAUAGCCAGAAAUAAGGUGGAGACAGGCAAAGGGUUGGAUGGGCAGGUGACCAGGCCUUGCAGCCAGGGAAGUCAUAACUACCAUGUGCUGAGUGGCUACUAGGUAGGGGCUUUAUCUUAUAUAUAAAUAUAUGACGUCCCUUCAUCUUCUCAGCAAUCCUCAGGGUAGGUACAGCUAUCCACACUUCCACAAUGCGGAAAGAGCCUCUGUCCUAGAAGUUGAGUUGCCUAAGAUCACACAACUGAUGAGCACUGUCUCCUGGAUCUGGGUACUUUCCCUGAUGCUGAGCCACCUCUGGUGGCUGGGGUGGGGACUCCUUCAUUCAUUCAGUAUCUCUUGCGUGACUGCUGGGUGCCAGGCCCUCUUCUAAGCUCUAGGGACAUAGCAGUGAGACCAACACGGUUUCUGCCCUCACAGAACGUGCAUCCUAGGAGCAGGAGACAGAUGAUAAACAAUAAACAAGUAGGAACAAGAUCAUUUCAAAUGUUAAAUUUAUGAUAAUAAUAAAGCAGGGUGAUGUGAUCGAGUUAACAAAGACUAUUUUAAUAACAGCUGUCAAAGAAACCUCAUAAGGGGUCACAAGUAUGUGAUGAACUGCAAGUAGGAGGGACCAUCUGUGAGAAGAUCUCGUGGGGGAAAACAUCCAGAUGGAGGAACAACCAGGUAGGACUGAGGCUGAAGUGUUGGUGCAGGUAGGAGACGAGGUCUGAGAAAAAGGCAGAAGGUAGCUCCUGCAGAGCCCAACGCAGGAAAUUUGAAUUUUACUUUAGGUGCAACGAAAAACUAUUAGAAGGUUUUAAGAGUAGAAUAACGCCAUCAGUUUUAUGUGCAGAAAAGAUCAUUCUAGCUGCUGUGUGGAAGAUGGACUUAGAGAGGGAACAGGGAGACCCGUUGGGAGGCUGAUGUAGCAGCCCAGGGAGAGAUGAAGGUGGCUUUCAUUAGGGGAGCGGUGAUGGUGGAGAGAAGUGGAGGGAUUCCGGGUAUGUUUUGGAGAUACCCGCACAGUCGCUUGGGUUGGGGAAAUGCUGCAUGUGUGAACUCUGGGGAGGGAGAAAUGAAUUAACUCCAGUGGAUCACAAAACUGGGACUUUGUCAGCUGGACCACAUGAUAUGUCUGGAAUUUUCUGUUAUGGUUUUCUUUCUGCUGUCUGGCUAUAUUUCAUAAAGUUCUUUUUGUAAAGGCUGACUGGCCUCAUAUGUGCUAAGGAGAACCAAGGGGAGGCGGUUGUGGGGGGCUGUGUCCACGCUGGAACCAGUGUUCUGCCUCGGGCCAACAUGGGAGAAGGAGUGGGGAAUCAGAGGGAAACUUCCCAGGAGGAAUGAGACUCUAGUGAUCAGAGUCAAGAGGGGGACUGGUCACCCACCCCCCACUUCCCAGUGUCUUUCAGAAGCUCUUCUCUGCUCCCACUUUGAGUAUUGUCUUAACGAGGGAGACUCUUACAGGCCCCCCGCAUUCCUCUCUUGGCUUUGUGCAGGGAAAGACAGGCACCAAGGGGCUGGUUCCGGGUAGGUACCCUGUCUCCGCUCCCCUCCCCUCCACCCCACCCCAGCACCAGCACCCAGACAGAAAGAGCCAAGGAUCUCACACCAACCAGGCUGGGCCCCAGGCAGCUGAAGUAGAGCUAAGGGUGUUGCAAGCCUCCCAAAUCACUCCCCCUCCAUCCUCACCCCUCCACCCUCAUACCUGGCCUGAGAAUUCUGGACCACAUGGGGGUCUUAUUUAUUCCACCUAGUUGGUAGUACAAGGCUCUGUGGAGGGUGCUGGGGUGGGAUUGGGGGAGACAGAGGUGAACAG